UCCUAUUGGUAUAUGCUAAAGCGAAAUUAAAAGAAGUGCCUGUAAAAUAAUCCCUUUUCAGAUAAUUCAGGAAUGAAACAAAACAGAUGUUACAAAAUGAUUGAAGUCGAUUAUGUAUAAUGUACCAGAUCAGUUACAGCAGCCGUCCAGGUUUUUUGCUUCGUGGAGUCUUGUGGAGCACUCUUGGAGCGGAAUGAUAACGGAUAUUUCCAUUACAUUCUCUGUUGCGCUGUCAUUUGCGAAGUUCAGAAUCACUUCCUCCUGCGUCCAACGCCCACAGUUCAUGUCCUCGAGAAUAAGACACGGCGGCAUGGGAAGAGCUGACCAAACUGCAUUCCACCGGUUGCGUCUUGAUGCAGUGAACUCUAAUUCUGCAUGGCCCUCAGUUUUCUAUUCGUUUUGCCUGCUGUCAGUGGUUAUAGGAGGUACACACCGAAGAUGUUUUUGCAAAGCGAUCUCUGUGAUAACGACGCUUUGCGGAGGCGGCUGAAUUCUUUGGUUGUGAUGUUACAUCGGAGGUGGAGACGUAGAAAUCCAAAGGGUAUGAAGAAAUUGAUCUUUGUAACGACGAGGCGUUAUGAUGAUGAUGAUGGCGGUGAUGUUCAUUAUGAUGAUAAUUAUUGAUGUUCGUGGUGCGGUCGGAACAUCUAUCUCAUCUUUCAAGUGGACAGGAAACGAGAAGGGGAAAUUGCCCCAAGGAGACGCGUUGUGUUUCCUGAAUAUAUUAAUCCCAUUUAUAAUUAUCUAUGGGACUCUACACCUCCGCAUCAUUGUCGCAAUACAAUCUUCUAAUUAAACAUAUUUCAGAUCAAGGUUUAGUGCUCUGUAAUGCAUAUUAUGUUGGAGGGCAUAGUCAUUUUAAUAACACAUACGAAUUCACUUCUGAACAACCAGGCUUAUUGAAUCGAGGUUUGACUAUUUCAAACUUUUUUCCACGGAAGGAUUAGGGCAGAUCGACAUUAAAAUAGAUAAUUUUAAAUACUGAAUAAAAUGCACUCGCUUAUAAAACAUCAUCUGUAAGAAACAACAUUUUUCGUGUAUUGUAGUCAGAUGUGAAGAACAUUGGCUCUACACUGAACUGCUUUUCAUUCUUGAAACAAGAAAUCGACAGCAUCUAAUACCUGAAGAUCGUGUAACCGAUAUAGACGUUCGUUUCGGAGA
This is a non-coding RNA of Zootermopsis nevadensis, 1161 nucleotides long. NCBI's taxonomy places the organism in Eukaryota, Metazoa, Arthropoda, Insecta, Blattodea, Termopsidae. The record is from RefSeq and is a predicted model, not a curated record.